Molecule: ribosomal RNA, 652 nt
Filed under: Pseudomonas sp. SI2
Lineage: Bacteria; Pseudomonadati; Pseudomonadota; Gammaproteobacteria; Pseudomonadales; Pseudomonadaceae
Description: bacterial SSU rRNA
Rfam family: Bacterial small subunit ribosomal RNA
Source: RNAcentral
ACACAUGCAAGUCGAGCGGAUGAAAGGAGCUUGCUCCUGGAUUCAGCGGCGGACGGGUGAGUAAUGCCUAGGAAUCUGCCUGGUAGUGGGGGACAACGUUUCGAAAGGAACGCUAAUACCGCAUACGUCCUACGGGAGAAAGCAGGGGACCUUCGGGCCUUGCGCUAUCAGAUGAGCCUAGGUCGGAUUAGCUAGUUGGUGAGGUAAUGGCUCACCAAGGCGACGAUCCGUAACUGGUCUGAGAGGAUGAUCAGUCACACUGGAACUGAGACACGGUCCAGACUCCUACGGGAGGCAGCAGUGGGGAAUAUUGGACAAUGGGCGAAAGCCUGAUCCAGCCAUGCCGCGUGUGUGAAGAAGGUCUUCGGAUUGUAAAGCACUUUAAGUUGGGAGGAAGGGUUGUAGAUUAAUACUCUGCAAUUUUGACGUUACCGACAGAAUAAGCACCGGCUAACUCUGUGCCAGCAGCCGCGGUAAUACAGAGGGUGCAAGCGUUAAUCGGAAUUACUGGGCGUAAAGCGCGCGUAGGUGGUUUGUUAAGUUGGAUGUGAAAUCCCCGGGCUCAACCUGGGAACUGCAUCCAAAACUGGCAAGCUAGAGUAUGGUAGAGGGUGGUGGAAUUUCCUGUGUAGCGGUGAAAUGCGUAGAUAUA